Molecule: long non-coding RNA, 1032 nt
Organism: Mytilus californianus (California mussel)
Lineage: Eukaryota; Metazoa; Mollusca; Bivalvia; Mytilida; Mytilidae
Exons: 3
Source: RefSeq, a predicted model, not a curated record
UAUGAAAACACGGAAGGUACGUGGUUAUAUAAAUGCAGAAUCAUUUAUUUGUCACACUAAACAAAGCAGUAUAUGAAAGUUUUAUUCAUACAGGAAUUAAAAAAUGGAAUUUUCAUCUGAGACGCUAGAGUCGAAUUUUUCGCUUGAACUAUUUGAUUUUCUUUGCAAAAUUGUUGGCUCUGAAAAAGACGUCCGAGCACGAAGGAUAUUCUUUAAAGUGUUAGAUCAUGCUUUACAGUACAGUCUGGAGUGGCGAGUAGUGACUAGUGGAAGUAAAUCAGAAGGCUUAGACUUACCAGGAAGCGACUUGGAUAUUAUGUAUAUCAACCAGAGUGACACAGUAUACAAUACAAAAUCUGAAAUACCAAGUGACUUGCCGUAUGGGCUUUAUUUAGAUUUCCAAAAUACACCACCGGGAGCACAGUGUCCUUUCAAACUACUACAUACCACACAACAAUCUGAUAGAAGGAAUGGUUGAUGUACAGAAAAAGUUGUUACUUUCUGUUUUUGCUAAAUGUUUUCACCAACGGAAACAAUUUUCUUAGACAAAUACAAACUAUUUCCUCAUUUUUGUACCAUAGUGAAGCACCUUAUGAGUUAUCAAGAUCAAAACAUUCUAAUAUGGACUCUUCUUUUUAUCCGCUUUUUCAUUAUAUUCACGGGAUAGGAUUCGGGUGUAGUCGUACUAUUUAUCAGCCGAUUUAUUGUGUAAUGGCUUAUAGACAAUGUAAGUUCUUCAAGCACAUAAUAAUACAAAAUUAUAAGCAUAAUAAUAUAUUCUAUUCAAACUACAAGAAAUGCCUUCGGUAUAAAGUCCUAGGAACGUUUUCUGAUUCCUAUACAGGCUGGCUUUCACUAGCCGAAUUCUUUUUUCAAGGCAAACAGCUUAAGAAAACUUUACAGUUAAUUCAAUUAUGUCAAUCAAAAAGUUUGACUGAUCACGCCUGAUUUAAAGCCUCAUCCCAGGAGUGAAAUAUUAGAAAAAAAAUGUUAAAACUUCUACUGAAAUCAUUAAAUGUUUAGUUUUUUUAA